GACGAACGCUGGCGGCGUGCUUAACACAUGCAAGUCGAACGGAGUGGCGAACGGGCGAGUAACACGUGGCUGACCUGCCCUCCACUUCGGGAUAAUCCCGGGAAACUGGGUCUAAUACUGGAUCGUGUGGGAUGGGCCCGCGGCCUAUCAGCUUGUUGGUGGGGUAAUGGCCUACCAAGGCUGCGACGGGUAGCCGGCCUGAGAGGGUGGACGGCCACAAUGGGACGACGACAGGGACCAGAGUCGUACUGGAGGCAGCGGUGGGGAGUAUUGCGCAGUGGGGGGGAGCCUGAUGCAGCGACUCUGGGUGGGGGAUGACGGCUUAGGGGUUGUGAACUCCUUUAGCCAAAGAAGCGGUAGAUGGAGAAGAAGCACCGGCUAACUACGUGACAGCCGCCGCGGGAAUAC
This 408-nucleotide ribosomal RNA is filed under the name uncultured bacterium. Its description in RNAcentral is "partial 16S ribosomal RNA". It matches the Rfam family "Bacterial small subunit ribosomal RNA", at positions 28 to 526 of the family's 1533-position model. The record is from RNAcentral.